GAUGAACGCUGGCGGCGUGCUUAACACAUGCAAGUCGAACGAGGUUACUUAUUACGAUCCCUUCGGGGUGACGAUUUUUAACCGAGUGGCGGACGGGUGAGUAACGCGUGGGCAACCUGCCCCAUACAGGGGGAUAACAGUUGGAAACGACUGACAAUACCGCAUAAGCGCACGGUCUCGCAUGAGACAGUGUGAAAAACUCCGGUGGUAUGGGAUGGGCCCGCGUCUGAUUAGCUAGUUGGUGAGGUAACGGCCCACCAAGGCGACGAUCAGUAGCCGACCUGAGAGGGUGACCGGCCACAUUGGGACUGAGACACGGCCCAAACUCC
Molecule: ribosomal RNA, 329 nt
Filed under: uncultured Lachnospiraceae bacterium
Lineage: Bacteria; Bacillati; Bacillota; Clostridia; Lachnospirales; Lachnospiraceae
Description: bacterial SSU rRNA
Rfam family: Bacterial small subunit ribosomal RNA
Source: RNAcentral